Molecule: ribosomal RNA, 439 nt
Filed under: uncultured bacterium
Lineage: Bacteria
Description: partial 16S ribosomal RNA
Rfam family: Bacterial small subunit ribosomal RNA
Source: RNAcentral
CUACGGGUUGCAGCAGUGAGGAAUAUUGCGCAAUGGGGGGAACCCUGAUGCAGCAACGCCGCGUGGAGGAUGACGCAUUUCGGUGUGUAAACUCCUUUUAUAUGUCAAGAAAAUGACGGUAGCAUAUGAAUAAGCACCGGCUAACUCCGUGCCAGCAGCCGCGGUAAUACGGAGGGUGCAGGCGUUACUCGGAAUCACUGGGCGUAAAGGACGCGUAGGCGGGUUGGAAAGUCAGGUGUGAAAUCCUACAGCUUAACUGUAGAACUGCACUUGGAACUUCUAAUCUAGAGUAUGGGAGGGGGAGAUGGAAUUAGUGGUGUAGGGGUAAAAUCCGUAGAUAUCACUAGGAAUGCCUAAAGCGAAGGCGAUCUCCUGGAACAUUACUGACGCUAAGGCGUGAAAGCGUGGGGAGCGAACAGGAUUAGAUACCCCGGUAGUC